RNAcentral lists this ribosomal RNA (516 nucleotides) under Bacillus mojavensis. RNAcentral's name for it is "bacterial SSU rRNA". It matches the Rfam family "Bacterial small subunit ribosomal RNA", at positions 932 to 1449 of the family's 1533-position model. Lineage: Bacteria; Bacillati; Bacillota; Bacilli; Caryophanales; Bacillaceae. The record is from RNAcentral.
GUGGAGCAUGUGGUUUAAUUCGAAGCAACGCGAAGAACCUUACCAGGUCUUGACAUCCUCUGACAAUCCUAGAGAUAGGACGUCCCCUUCGGGGGCAGAGUGACAGGUGGUGCAUGGUUGUCGUCAGCUCGUGUCGUGAGAUGUUGGGUUAAGUCCCGCAACGAGCGCAACCCUUGAUCUUAGUUGCCAGCAUUCAGUUGGGCACUCUAAGGUGACUGCCGGUGACAAACCGGAGGAAGGUGGGGAUGACGUCAAAUCAUCAUGCCCCUUAUGACCUGGGCUACACACGUGCUACAAUGGACAGAACAAAGGGCAGCGAAACCGCGAGGUUAAGCCAAUCCCACAAAUCUGUUCUCAGUUCGGAUCGCAGUCUGCAACUCGACUGCGUGAAGCUGGAAUCGCUAGUAAUCGCGGAUCAGCAUGCCGCGGUGAAUACGUUCCCGGGCCUUGUACACACCGCCCGUCACACCACGAGAGUUUGUAACACCCGAAGUCGGUGAGGUAACCUUUUAGAGC